Molecule: ribosomal RNA, 443 nt
Filed under: uncultured bacterium
Lineage: Bacteria
Description: partial 16S ribosomal RNA
Rfam family: Bacterial small subunit ribosomal RNA
Source: RNAcentral
CCUACGGGGGGCAACAGUGGGGAAUAUUGGGCAAUGGGCGCAAGCCUGACCCAGCAACGCCGCGUGAAGGAAGAAGGCCCUCGGGUUGUAAACUUCUUUUAUCAAGGACGAAACAAAUGAUGGUACUAGAUGAAUAAGCCACGGCUAACUACGAGCCAGCAGCCGCGGUAAUACGUAGGUAGCAAGCGUUAUCCGGAUGUACUGGGUGUACAGGGCGUGUAGGCGGGACUGCAAGUCCGAGGGGAAAACCAUGGGCUCAACCCAUGGCCCGCCUUUGAAACUGUAGUUCUUGAGUGUUGGAGAGGCAGGCGGAAUUCCGUGUGUAGCGGUGAAAUGCGUAGAUAUCCGGAGGAACACCAGUGGCGAAGGCGGCCUGCUGGACAAUAACUGACGCUGAGGCGCGAAAGCGUGGGUAGCAAACAGGAUUAGAUACCCUUGUAGUC